This 506-nucleotide ribosomal RNA is filed under the name uncultured bacterium. Its description in RNAcentral is "bacterial SSU rRNA". It matches the Rfam family "Bacterial small subunit ribosomal RNA", at positions 501 to 1009 of the family's 1533-position model. The record is from RNAcentral.
CUACGUGCCAGCAGCCGCGGUAAUACGGAAGGUCCGGGCGUUAUCCGGAUUUAUUGGGUUUAAAGGGAGCGUAGGCUGGAGAUUAAGUGUGUUGUGAAAUGUAGACGCUCAACGUCUGACUUGCAGCGCAUACUGGUUUCCUUGAGUACGCACAACGUUGGCGGAAUUCGUCGUGUAGCGGUGAAAUGCUUAGAUAUGACGAAGAACUCCGAUUGCGAAGGCAGCUGACGGGAGCGCAACUGACGCUGAAGCUCGAAGGUGCGGGUAUCGAACAGGAUUAGAUACCCUGGUAGUCCGCACAGUAAACGAUGGAUGCCCGCUGUUGGUACUUGGUAUCAGCGGCUAAGCGAAAGCAUUAAGCAUCCCACCUGGGGAGUACGCCGGCAACGGUGAAACUCAAAGGAAUUGACGGGGGCCCGCACAAGCGGAGGAACAUGUGGUUUAAUUCGAUGAUACGCGAGGAACCUUACCCGGGCUUGAAUUGCAGAGGAAGGAUUUAGAGAUAA